This 549-nucleotide ribosomal RNA is filed under the name uncultured Rhizophagus. Its description in RNAcentral is "SSU rRNA". It matches the Rfam family "Eukaryotic small subunit ribosomal RNA", at positions 548 to 1098 of the family's 1831-position model. Lineage: Eukaryota; Fungi; Glomeromycota; Glomeromycetes; Glomerales; Glomeraceae. The record is from RNAcentral.
UUGGAGGGCAAGUCUGGUGCCAGCAGCCGCGGUAAUUCCAGCUCCAAUAGCGUAUAUUAAAGUUGUUGCAGUUAAAAAGCUCGUAGUUGAAUUUCGGGGUCAGUAGGUUGGUCAUGCCACUGGUAUGUACUGGUCUCACUGACUCCUCCUUCCUGAUGAACUGUAAUGCCAUUAAUUUGGUGUUGCAGGGAAUCUGGACUGUUACUUUGAAAAAAUUAGAGUGUUUAAAGCAGGCUAACGCCUGAAUACAUUAGCAUGGAAUAAUGAAAUAGGACGUUCGAUCCUAUUUUGUUGGUUUCUAGGAUUGACGUAAUGAUUAAUAGGGAUAGUUGGGGGCAUUAGUAUUCAAUUGUCAGAGGUGAAAUUCUUGGAUUUAUUGAAGACUAACUACUGCGAAAGCAUUUGCCAAGGAUGUUUUCAUUAAUCAAGAACGAAAGUUAGGGGAUCGAAGACGAUCAGAUACCGUCGUAGUCUUAACCAUAAACUAUGCCGACUAGGGAUCGGAUGAUGUUAAUUUUUUAAUGACUCAUUCGGCGCCUUACGGGAAAC